GACGAACGCUGGCUGCGUGCUUAACACAUGCAAGUCGAACGGUGAAGCGCCUUCCUUUUUGGUGGGUGUGGAUGAGUGGCGAACGGGUGAGUAACACGUGAGUAACCUGCCCCCUUCUUCUGGAUAACCGCAUGAAAGUGUGGCUAAUACGGGAUAUUCUGGGUCUGUCGCAUGAUGGGUCUGGGAAAGAUAUUGUUUCGGUGGGGGAUGGGCUCGCGGCCUAUCAGCUUGUUGGUGGGGUGAUGGCCUACCAAGGCGGUGACGGGUAGCCGGCCUGAGAGGGUGGACGGUCACACUGGGACUGAGACACGGCCCAGACUCCUACGGGAGGCAGCAGUGGGGAAUAUUGCACAAUGGGCGCAAGCCUGAUGCAGCGACGCCGCGUGAGGGAUGGAGGCCUUCGGGUUGUGAACCUCUUUCGCCAGUGAAGCAGGCCUGCCUCGUUUGUGGGUGGGUUGACGGUAGCUGGAUAAGAAGCGCCGGCUAACUACGUG
RNAcentral lists this ribosomal RNA (494 nucleotides) under uncultured bacterium. RNAcentral describes it as "partial 16S ribosomal RNA". It matches the Rfam family "Bacterial small subunit ribosomal RNA", at positions 28 to 507 of the family's 1533-position model. The record is from RNAcentral.